CUUGGUCAUUUAGAGGAAGUAAAAGUCGUAACAAGGUCUCCGUUGGUGAACCAGCGGAGGGAUCAUUACCGAGUUUACAACUCCCAAACCCCUGUGAACAUACCUUAUGUUGCCUCGGCGGAUCAGCCCGCGCCCCGUAAAAAGGGACGGCCCGCCGCAGGAACCCUAAACUCUGUUUUUAGUGGAACUUCUGAGUAUAAAAAACAAAUAAAUCAAAACUUUCAACAACGGAUCUCUUGGUUCUGGCAUCGAUGAAGAACGCAGCAAAAUGCGAUAAGUAAUGUGAAUUGCAGAAUUCAGUGGAUCAUCGAAUCUUUGAACGCACAUUGCGCCCGCCAGUAUUCUGGCGGGCAUGCCUGUUCGAGCGUCAUUUCAACCCUCAAGCCCAGCUUGGUGUUGGGAGCUGCAGUCCUGCUGCACUCCCCAAAUACAUUGGCGGUCACGUCGAGCUUCCAUAGCGUAGUAAUUUACAUAUCGUUACUGGUAAUCGUCGCGGCCACGCCGUUAAACCCCAACUUCUGAAUGUUGACCUCGGAUCAGGUAGGAAUACCCGCUGAACUUAAGCAUAUCAAUAAGCGGAGGAAAAGAAACCAACAGGGAUUGCCCUAGUAACGGCGAGUGAAGCGGCAACAGCUCAAAUUUGAAAUCUGGCUUUCGGGCCCGAGUUGUAAUUUGUAGAGGAUGAUUUUGAUGCGGUGCCUUCCGAGUUCCCUGGAACGGGACGCCAUAGAGGGUGAGAGCCCCGUCUGGUUGGAUGCCAAAUCUCUGUAAAUCUCCUUCGACGAGUCGAGUUGUUUGGGAAU
This 803-nucleotide small RNA is filed under the name uncultured Fusarium. RNAcentral describes it as "eukaryotic LSU rRNA". The stretch from base 527 to 803 matches the Rfam family "Eukaryotic large subunit ribosomal RNA", at positions 1 to 281 of the family's 3401-position model. The record is from RNAcentral. Lineage: Eukaryota; Fungi; Ascomycota; Sordariomycetes; Hypocreales; Nectriaceae.